UGCCCGUUCCUCUGCGCCUGCGCCCGCCCCCGGCGCCGCCAUGCGUGGAGCUGAAUCCAAGCAUCGCCCGUGUUGCUAGGUCUGGGCGAAAACCCUAGUAGCGGCGCUCGCGCCUGACUGCGCCCUUUAAACUCUGUAAGAACACUUGUGGGACAGAGGAUGACGCCUCCGCCGAGGUCGCCACGAUGAAUCCCACGGGCGCAAGCUGCUGCUGCUCGUCGACGAUCUGGUUAUCCGUUCACCCCACUUGGCCUUCUUCUACUCGCUCCAGGCCCGCGUGCUCGAUCUGGAAUCCCUCCUCGCCGACAACCCCAAGCUCUCGGCCCACCGCUAUAGCAAUACCUCUACGACGGCCUCGUCCUCUUCGCCCCACGUUUUGGUGGAUCAGUGGGCAUAGUAGUACGCUAUCCGAUGGUGCAUUGCCUGACACUAUGGAACCUGCUGUUACCCAAAAUACUGAAUAGAACUCUGAAUUGCCAUUUCCUGAUACACAUGUUGAGGUUUAUUUAUAAUGCACAUUUCCCCUGUCAAAAGGCUAGCACCUUCUGCUCUUGCAAGAAUCAGUGUGGCAGAAUCAAUGUUAUAGGGCUCCAGGUAAGUACUCUAGAUGCUUUAUUCCCUUUUUAUUUUGUCUGUACAUAAUUAGGAUUUAGGAACCGACUGAUGGACCAAUUGUGAUUGUGAAAAAUGUCAUUUUAAUUU
Molecule: long non-coding RNA, 702 nt
Organism: Triticum aestivum (bread wheat)
Lineage: Eukaryota; Viridiplantae; Streptophyta; Magnoliopsida; Poales; Poaceae
Exons: 3
Source: RefSeq, a predicted model, not a curated record